RNAcentral lists this ribosomal RNA (429 nucleotides) under bacterium. RNAcentral's name for it is "partial 16S ribosomal RNA". It matches the Rfam family "Bacterial small subunit ribosomal RNA", at positions 355 to 776 of the family's 1533-position model. The record is from RNAcentral.
UGGGGAAUCUUCCGCAAUGGACGAAAGUCUGACGGAGCAACGCCGCGUGAGUGAUGACGGCCUUCGGGUUGUAAAGCUCUGUUAAUCGGGACGAAUGGUUCUUGUGCGAAUAGUGCGAGGAUUUGACGGUACCGGAAUAGAUAGCCACGGCUAACUACGUGCCAGCAGCCGCGGUAAUACGUAGGUGGCAAGCGUUGUCCGGAAUUAUUGGGCGUAAAGCGCGCGCAGGCGGAUUGGUCAGUCUGUCUUAAAAGUUCGGGGCUUAACCCCGUGAUGGGAUGGAAACUGCCAAUCUAGAGUAUCGGAGAGGAAAGUGGAAUUCCUAGUGUAGCGGUGAAAUGCGUAGAUAUUAGGAAGAACACCAGUGGCGAAGGCGACUUUCUGGACGAAAACUGACGCUGAGGCGCGAAAGCCAGGGGAGCGAACGGG